GUAGGGAAUAUUGCGCAAUGGGGGAAACCCUGACGCAGCGACGCCGCGUGAGUGAUGAAGGCCUUCGGGUCGUAAAGCUCUGUUGCCGGGGAAUAAAAAAAUGAAGGUACCCUGUGAGGAAGGAUCGGCUAACUUCGUGCCAGCAGCCGCGGUAAGACGAGGGAUCCUAGCGUUGCUCGGAAUCAUUGGGCGUAAAGAGGGCGUAGGUGGCUUGGUAAGUCAGGUGUGAAAGCCCAGGGCUCAACCCUGGAAGUGCAUUUGAUACUGCUGAGCUUGAGUGUCGGAGAGGUUACCGGAAUACCUGGUGUAGUGGUGAAAUACGUAGAUAUCAGGUGGAACACCGGAGGCGAAGGCGGGUAACUGGACGAACACUGACACUGAGGCCCGAAAGCGUGGGGAUCAAACAGGAUUAGAAACCCGUGUAGUCC
RNAcentral lists this ribosomal RNA (428 nucleotides) under uncultured bacterium. RNAcentral's name for it is "partial 16S ribosomal RNA". It matches the Rfam family "Bacterial small subunit ribosomal RNA", at positions 354 to 796 of the family's 1533-position model. The record is from RNAcentral.